ACGGGUGUAGCUCAAUUGGUAGAGUUGCGGUCUCCAAAACCGUCGGUUGGGGGUUCGAGUCCUCCCACCCGUG
This 73-nucleotide transfer RNA is filed under the name bacterium. RNAcentral's name for it is "tRNA-Trp". It matches the Rfam family "tRNA". From Rfam's summary of the family: Transfer RNA (tRNA) molecules are approximately 80 nucleotides in length. Their secondary structure includes four short double-helical elements and three loops (D, anti-codon, and T loops). Further hydrogen bonds mediate the characteristic L-shaped molecular structure. tRNAs have two regions of fundamental functional importance: the anti-codon, which is responsible for specific mRNA codon recognition, and the 3' end, to which the tRNAs corresponding amino acid is attached (by aminoacyl-tRNA synthetases). tRNAs cope with the degeneracy of the genetic code in two manners: having more than one tRNA (with a specific anti-codon) for a particular amino acid; and 'wobble' base-pairing, i.e. permitting non-standard base-pairing at the 3rd anti-codon position. The record is from RNAcentral.